Molecule: ribosomal RNA, 440 nt
Filed under: uncultured bacterium
Lineage: Bacteria
Description: partial 16S ribosomal RNA
Rfam family: Bacterial small subunit ribosomal RNA
Source: RNAcentral
CCUACGGGUGGCAGCAGUGGGGGAUAUUGCACAAUGGGGGAAACCCUGAUGCAGCGACGCCGCGUGUGGGAAGACGGUCUUCUGGAUUGUAAACCACUGUCCCCAGGGACGAAAAUGACGGUACCUGGGGAGGAAGCUCCGGCUAACUACGUGCCAGCAGCCGCGGUAAUACGUAGGGGGCAAGCGUUGUCCGGAAUUACUGGGUGUAAAGGGAGCGUAGGCGGGGAUGCAAGUUGGGUGUCAAAACUACCGGCUCAACCGAUAGUCGCACUUAAAACUGAAGCUCUUGAGUGAAGUAGAGGCAGGCGGAAUUCCUAGUGUAGCGGUGAAAUGCGUAGAUAUUAGGAGGAACACCAGUGGCGAAGGCGGCCUGCUGGGCUUUUACUGACGCUGAGGCUCGAAAGUGUGGGGAGCAAACAGGAUUAGAUACCCUAGUAGUC